UUCCCCUCAUCGUCUUCCCCACGAUACCAGCUUCCAACACCCACCCACCCCUUUCCUUGUGUGUGGCCUACCAUUCUUGGCACCGCCCAACCUCUCCUGGCCUCUCUCCCCCGCACCACCCAUCUACUGAGUCAGCGAACGACGACGUGCGGCCUCCACUCAGCCGCCCAGCUCCGGCCUACUUCCCUUGUCGCCGCCCUUUACUAGCCUCUCUUUGUCUCCUUCGCAGUUUAUAUCCAUGAAAUUUUGGGAUUCAAAAAUCUUACUUCUCUCACUAAGCUUGAUCUAUCUGACAAUAACAUAUCAACACUUCCCCAGAGUUGCUUGCAGGUCUUAAGACUUGAUGGAAAUUCGUUGAGAAGCAUCCGAAGGACAAUCUUAGAUAGAGGAACCAAGGCUGUCUUAACAUAUUUGAAGGACAAAAUUAUAGAUCUCUAGUUUAGUUGCAAUUCUAUCCUGACAUCUCUCACUCUUUGAUUUGCCAGAAUUCUUAAUUUGAAGACCACGUGGUUCUUUACAUGGUUGGAGUGAGCGUGACAUUUGUGACCUUACGAAUUAAUUUAUGAUUGUUUUUGUCAUUUUUAAUAUCCCAAUGUUUGACCAUGGGAUUGUAUUUGCUGUUACUGAUAAUAAUUUAUUUUCUCCACGUAAGCUAUGCCUAUGUGUUUGUAAAAUAUUAUGUGAUUGGUUGUGUAUUCUAUUCUCGUUGUUGUUA
This is a long non-coding RNA of Humulus lupulus (European hop), 715 nucleotides long. RefSeq lists it as uncharacterized. The record is from RefSeq and is a predicted model, not a curated record. The transcript is spliced from 4 exons. Lineage: Eukaryota; Viridiplantae; Streptophyta; Magnoliopsida; Rosales; Cannabaceae.